This is a long non-coding RNA of Struthio camelus australis, 2466 nucleotides long. RefSeq lists it as uncharacterized. The record is from RefSeq and is a predicted model, not a curated record. NCBI's taxonomy places the organism in Eukaryota, Metazoa, Chordata, Aves, Struthioniformes, Struthionidae.
UCUGCAGAGCAAAGUCCCUCACAGACCAGAUGCUGGGAUGCAAAUGAAAGCCUCCAUUCUCUCAUGACAUCCAAGGCCCUGAUCCUGCAAAUUCAUCUGCACAGGCAAAUCUCUCGUCCUGUACUGCUCGAGACCUUGUGAUAGCCCAACCCUGCAGAUCAGCCACGGGACAGCUCAGGAAGCCGCUGCAGAGAAAUGGAAAGUUUCUUCCAGAAAAAAAACAGCUUCGCCACGGCUCUGAACCACUGUCCCACAUCUCAUAUAAAAUAAGUCUGGGACAACCUAGAAAUCUGCACUGAGGCUCUAUUGCAGGUGUGGUCCAACACGAGACCAGACUAAGCUGAGGCAGAGGAAACAUUGGAGCCAGGCCGGCUCAUCAAGUCUGCAGUAGAAAUCUCUUUUGAAGUCAGCAAAGAGCUCUGCACAGACAUCAGGAUAGCCCUUCGAUUUACAUAGCUUCAAGCCUACUGUUGACCAAUGCAGCAUUCAAUGGACAUCAUAAUCCUCAAGAAAUGAAAUCCCUCAUUUCACCAAAAAUGCAAAUUAUGAUAUAAUAGUAUGAUAUUAAUCAGAAUAUGAUUCUGAUUUCUUCUUCUUCUGUAUGGCAGGGCACAGUGAGAGUCAGCUGCUCCCUGAGGGAUGGAGACCCAAGGUGACCCCAGUGCACGCCAUGCCCUCCCCAGUGGAGCGUCGUCCCACGGUGCUGAGCACUGCAGGCAGAGCCGGGAGCCAGUAACAUUGUCCAUUGACAGCCCCAGACAUGGCAUGCUGUGACCCAGGUCCAGGGCCAUCCAGACAGCCCAGUCAGGAGCAAAAGGAGAUGGGUCAGAGAGAGGGCUGGCAACCAGCACUGCUACAGCAUCAUGACGCAGGGACUGAAGUCCUGGGCUGAGCUGAAAUGGGGCUCCUGAGGCCAUUGGAUGUGGGGGAAGGUCCCAGGUGAGGCACGUCAGGGCCAUUAAACCCUCAGGGCCCUGACAAUGUCGUCCCUACUAGGCACACUACAGAAGACAAAGCCAGCACUAGUCAUUUCUCUAUGAGAACUCAGGAAUCUCUACUUCCAGAUGGGAUCUCCUAGGCUAAAGGAAAUUUCCAUCUUGUAAUCUGAGCUAUCACCAACACACAACAAGACACAGAAAAAUGAAAAGGUGCAGGUGUGAGUUAAAGAGGAAGGGAAGCAAGGAACAGAGGUUCAGCUCAAGAAAAAUACUCAGGUACAUCAACGGACCAUCCAUCACGGUCAGCCACCUCAGGCGAAAUUCAAAAGAUCUUCCUCACUCAGAAACUGAGUGUGGUUCUCGAAACCAGGUAUCAAAGAAGACCUAAGCAGCAUCUGAGGAUGCAGCGAAGACAGAGCCUUCUCUGCUUGACUGUCCCUGCUUCAUCUUGAUUCUUCUGCUCUUUCUUUGCUGGGUUAGUCUGACAGAUUUGUUCAGAACAGCAGCACACAUCACAGUAAACAGUUGUCUGAAGUUAUCACUUGCAGCCAUAGAUUUUCAACUGUCAUCAACGGACUUUUCUGUCCUGAUUCUCUGCCUGCUCAGUCCUGACUUCAGUAGACCUCAUCUGGUUUGCAUCAGCUCAGAAUCAGGCUCUCCAAGCUCUGCUGUUAUUUAUGUUAGCUCAGUACCCACAAUAACCUCUGGGAACAGGUCCCAGUGUACCAAGCUCUGUAGAAACGUGGAAAGAGAGACAGUAUUUGCCCCAAGGAGCUUACAGGUGCCAGAAGUGAAACAGUGAAAGACACGCCGCGAAAGAAAGAUGUCUGAUUGAACAUGGCAUAAUGUUGCAGGUUGGAUGUCUGAAUGCCACAGAAGGAUUAUGCUAUACAGCACUGCUUAGAUUUGUGUUUCCAUCCUAAUGUACUAAACCCUUCUAAGGUUAAGCUCAGCCAAUUUAGGAAUACAAAUAAUCUCAAAAAGUCCCAUUUUGGAAGCCUCCAUUCCUUAGGAAACCAGUGACAGCAUGAUGAUGUUGCUCUAAAUUCACCUCCGGGCAAACCAGGCUUAAUCACUGCUGUGAAAUUGUUGCCUUCUUUCCUGCCUCUCUCGUACCUUUCCUGCCUGCUCUCCAUUUGACACUUUUCACUGUGACAGUCAUCAGCCAGUGUGUAAUAUAAUCAAAAGACUGCUUCUGGCUUAAAGCAGCUCCAGCAAGAAUUCUUCACAGCAAACUACAUUAAAAUGCAACCCCUGUCCUGUACCUUCCCCUAUGUAACUCUCUGCUCCUUUCCUCCACUCCAUGCUUUGGGUUUAGGAGGUAUCGUUUUGUUUGUUUGUUUGUUGUAGUUGUUGUCAUUGUUUUUAUACUAUCAUAUUAUCCCAUGUUGCAAUUGUAAAACCACAUUAUAAAAGCAGGCAAUAUUGAACUAAUUUUAUCACAGGGCUAGUAAUAAAGUUUAACACCAACCAUAAUAUUGUUGUACAUCAGAAAUAUUGCAACAGAACAGUAAUAUCCUGUUAAAUU